This 2349-nucleotide long non-coding RNA is filed under the name Zea mays. Its description in RNAcentral is "long non-coding RNA (ZMAY_LNC000281)". Lineage: Eukaryota; Viridiplantae; Streptophyta; Magnoliopsida; Poales; Poaceae. The record is from RNAcentral.
CGCCGCCGCGGAGCAGACCGAAUAUCUCCCAGCAGUGGUGACUGUUGCGGUGUUGCCGCAUCCACGCCCUAGUCGACCACGCCGCCCCAGCAGCCCGCUGCUGCCGCGGCUCGCGCCCCCAGUAGCCCCCGCCGCCGCGGCUCGUGCCUCGUAUCCGUAACAGCUACACCGCGCCACCUGCCCCGCUUCCUGCUGGCUGCAUCGUCCUCAGGUCUUCCGAAGGCGAGCUCCAAUCCCCAACCACUAUUCACAAGGUUUGAAUUCUGUACCAGUGAAUCAAGAGAUCUCGAGCUCUGUUUCGUGGGCAGGGUCAAGGAUUGUCUAGAAUCGCACCCUGACACUGUAUUUUGUUGUUCGUUUUAACUGAUGACAAGUUGAACUGACGCAUAUUUACAAGACAUGAACUGUAUAUUAUAUUUCCUAUAUAUAUCCUGUACCAGCAAUAUUAUAUCAUUUUUCUCGUUUCUGAACAAUCCAAUUGGGGCCAAACCUUGUAUUCCUAUCUGAUCUAAUUACAAGUGUGUAUAUGUAUUAUGCCAACUAACUUCGAUUAUUUGUGUAUAAUGCCCACUAACUUCACUUAUUUUGCCAAAAAAGGUUGUACAUGUUUACACUCAUGCGGUUCACUGGCUCCUCCCUAUUGGCUAUUGCAGAUGACUACAAAACUUGACCAAUCUUCUGCGGGGGCCUGACCUCGCUUUGGACCCUGUCGUGUGCAAAGGAAGGGCUUUGGCCUACCAGGUAUCGUACUAUCACUUAACACUCUUCUCUUUCGCCUCCAUGGGUUUAUGCUUCUAGCCUGCUCUAUCUCUUUGCAUCCAUUGUUCUAUGCACUACCGCCAUCUUUUUGCAUUUUGAUUGAUGCAAUAUGUUUGGUUCAACUUGUACGUACUAGUACUAGUUACACUAUGCUACCUUUUCUCAGUAAAAAUAAUCCUUGGAAAUAGCCCACCACAGUUUUAAAUAAUUCCAUAUUGCUUCCAGUAAAAAGGAUGUCUAACUUGGGUGUCUUUUCUUAAAAUGUUUCUUUCUCUUGGUAGCCUGGUACCUGUGUCAAUCUACAUUCAAAACUUAACCAGGAAUAGUAUGCAUGCAUUUUAGUAGCCGCUUUAGAAAUUUAGAACUUGGUGCGUACUUCAGUUCCGUUGGUUAGAAUAGGAAAUGCUAAAAAAACUCACCAUUGAGUGAGCAUUACUUUGGAGGCUAGACCAAAUUGUAUCAUUAUUUACUUUUAUUGAGAGGAUAAGCCCAGCCUCCUCACUGACUGGACAGAUAAUGGCCAUUUCUUGCGAUUCUCUCCUAAGCCCUGCGCCCCUGUCUACCGUCAUCCGCUGCAGAGAGUCGGCGUCGGCAGCCCAGCACCGUCCUGGUAACUAAGCGAUAGCUUCAGUUCAUAAUUUUGUUUUUUAAUUCUUGUAAGUAUCCAUCUGUCUAGCAGCCCAGCACCGUCCUGGUAAAUAAUUCUUUAAGUUUAUUUUUGUAACUAAGCGAUAGCUUCAAUUCAUAAUUUUGUUUUCAAAUUUCAGCAUAUUGUCAUGUCAUCUAGAAAGUAUCCAUCCGGUUCUGAGAAAAGGAAGAUGAAGAAACGAGCAUAUGAGUUCGCUUCGAGACAUGUUAGAAGACAAUUUUAAGGUAAUCACAUAUUUGUAUUUUUUUUCUUACGAUGAAUAAUUUUUUGAUGUAUUUUUAAAUGUUUAUUACCAAUAUGUAUUAUAUAUAUAUAUAUUAUUAUAUAUAUUAAGUCUGGCCCCGGGCCCCUAAUUUGUCAGGACCGUCACUGGUAAUCGUGACUUAAUACGCUAUUGUUUAUUUGUUAUAACAGAGAAUUCCAAUCACGACUUAAUGAGAAAUUGUCCUCGAGGCAGUAUGAAAAUGCACUUGUUGUUACCUACAUCUCCCUCUACCGAACAUCAGGUAUGCAUAUUCAUCAUCAUUUACUUGUUGUUAGUUAUAUUAUGAUGUAACUCAGCAAAUGUCAUUUGUACAUGUAUAUUAGACCCCUCCAGCUACCUUGCCGACGCAUGAACAAGAGGACGAGUUAGACUUUGUCGAAACCCUCUUCAAUAGUGGAAGAGGACAGGUUAGACUUUGUCGAAACCCUCUUCAAUAGUGGAGGUAUUGACCAUCACUCUUCACUGUAACCCGAUGGUGAUCGGCGACCGUGAGCUUCCAUGUUAUUGCGUUCUGAUACUUGAGACUUUUAUUAUGACUAUGUAUGAGAUAUUGUCUCUUAUUAGUACUGGAUGAUGAGAUGUGUCUUAUUAUGACUAUGGAUGAGACUUUUGUGAUGUAAUUGAUAAGACUAUGGAUUUAAAUAUUGUUAUGUGAUUGUGUGUGAGAUGUUUUAUG